Molecule: ribosomal RNA, 468 nt
Filed under: uncultured bacterium
Lineage: Bacteria
Description: partial 16S ribosomal RNA
Rfam family: Bacterial small subunit ribosomal RNA
Source: RNAcentral
GACGAACGCUGGCGGCGUGCUUAACACAUGCAAGUCGAACGGAAAGGCCCUGCUUUUGUGGGGUGCUCGAGUGGCGAACGGGUGAGUAACACGUGAGUAACCUGCCCUUGACUUUGGGAUAACUUCAGGAAACUGGGGCUAAUACCGGAUAGGAGCUCCUGCUGCAUGGUGGGGGUUGGAAAGUUUCGGCGGUUGGGGAUGGACUCGCGGCUUAUCAGCUUGUUGGUGGGGUAGUGGCUUACCAAGUGUUUGACGGGUAGCCGGCCUGAGAGGGUAACCGGCCACAUUGGGACUGAGAGACGGCCCAGAGUCGUACGGGAGGCAGCAGGGGGGAAUAUGGCACAAUGGGCGGAAGCCUGAUGCAGCAACGCCGCGUUCGGGAUGACGGCCUGCGGGGUGUGAACCGCUUUCGCCUGUGACGAAGCGGUAGUGACGGUAAUGGGUAAAGAAGCACCGGCUAACUACGUG